UAGGGAAUCUUCCGCAAUGGACGCAAGUCUGACGGAGCAAUGCCGCGUGAGUGAUGAAGGUUUUCGGAUCGUAAAGCUCUGUUGCCAGGGAAGAAGAUUCAGGAGAGUAACUGCUCCUGGAGUGACGGUACCUGAGAAGAAAGCCCCGGCUAACUACGUGCCAGCAGCCGCGGUAAUACGUAGGGGGCAAGCGUUGUCCGGAAUUAUUGGGCGUAAAGCGCGCGCAGGCGGUCAUUUAAGUCUGGUGUUUAAUCCCGGGGCUCAACCCCGGGUCGCACUGGAAACUGGGUGACUUGAGUACAGAAGAGGAGAGUGGAAUUCCACGUGUAGCGGUGAAAUGCGUAGAUAUGUGGAGGAACACCAGUGGCGAAGGCGACUCUCUGGGCUGUAACUGACGCUGAGGCGCGAAAGCGUGGGGAGCAAACAG
RNAcentral lists this ribosomal RNA (427 nucleotides) under uncultured bacterium. RNAcentral describes it as "bacterial SSU rRNA". It matches the Rfam family "Bacterial small subunit ribosomal RNA", at positions 355 to 775 of the family's 1533-position model. The record is from RNAcentral.